RNAcentral lists this transfer RNA (68 nucleotides) under Callulina kreffti (Krefft's secret frog). RNAcentral describes it as "tRNA-Ala". Lineage: Eukaryota; Metazoa; Chordata; Amphibia; Anura; Brevicipitidae. The record is from RNAcentral.
AAGGCUUUAUCUUAAUUAAAGAACCUAAGUUGCAUUUAGGGGAUGUGGAAGAUUUUCCGCAAGUCUUA